GAUGAACGCUGGCGGCGUGCCUAAUACAUGCAAGUCGAACGGAAAGACGAGGCGCUUGCUGCGCGGACGUGAGGGGAGCACGGGAGUGAAACGCGUGGAUAACGUCCCUAUAAGAGUGAGAUAACUUCGGGAAACCGGAGCUAAUACCGGAUAAGAUAUUGAACCGCGGGGGUGGAUAGUGAGAGACGGUUUUGCUGGCACGUAUAGAUGGAUCCGCGCCGCAUUAGCUAGUUGGUAAGGUAACGGGUUAUCAAGGGAACGAUGCGUGACCGAGCUGAGGGAGGGCUCGGCCACCCUGGAGCUUAGACACCCUCCUGGCUCCUGCGGGAGGCACCAGUAGCCAAUCUGCCGCAAUGGGCGAAAGCCUGGCGGAGUAGCGCCGCGUGAGUUAUGAAGGCCCUCCGAUCGUAAAACUCUGUUAUUAGUGAAGAACAACUUUGUAAUUAACUAUGCACGUCUUGACGGUACCUAGUCAGAAAGCCCCGGCUAACUACGUG
This 497-nucleotide ribosomal RNA is filed under the name uncultured bacterium. RNAcentral's name for it is "partial 16S ribosomal RNA". It matches the Rfam family "Bacterial small subunit ribosomal RNA", at positions 28 to 507 of the family's 1533-position model. The record is from RNAcentral.